AUGAUGGAGAGGAAGUUUUCAGUGGUGCCCAAUACAUUGUACAGAAGCACUAAGCCUUCCAUGGAAGCACCAUCAGAAGUAGAAGAAUACUUCGUACACACAAGUGGAUUUUCCUGAAAGCUAUAAUGACAUAAACAGUCUCUAAUAAUGGGAACGUCAGGUGUCCUGAUGAAAGAUUUCCUAGCAACUAUAGAACAACAGAUAGAGGUAAUAUUUAUUGAUUAAACAGUUGAAAUUUUUUGUUAAUUGUAAAGUAUUCCCUUUUCAGUACAUCUGCAUAUGAAAGACGUAAAGCUUAUUUUGUGGAAUAUGUGAAUAUAUGAAUUGUGUUAUAGUUCCUGUCACUGGUAUUUAAGUGGUGAAUCAUGAUGAAACUGCCAAACCUGAUAUGUUGAUGAGAAACUUCAUACGGAUCUGGCUACUGAGAUGAAACCACUUAAAUAAUUCUUUGAAAAGUCACUUCAUCUUUCAGUCAUUGUCCCAGUUGGUGUUACUUUUAUGACUGUCCCCAUCUGCAGGCCAGAUGCCAGGUGCUCCAGGUUGUGAAUAAGGAUGUUGGUGCAUUAUUUAAAGUCACCUCGGGUCUAUUUUGACAUGGAUGUGUGCUGCUGCAGCAGCUACUGUCUUUAAAGAGCAGAGAGAGGGAAGAGUUAGACCUCUGUAACUUGAGGUACCCUGUCUUGCAGUGGGUGAAGUCCCCUGGUAAGGAAGCAUUGCUGGUGUUGGAAAGCUAGUGGUGAUGUUUGUGCUUU
RNAcentral lists this long non-coding RNA (752 nucleotides) under Calidris pygmaea (Spoon-billed sandpiper). RNAcentral describes it as "lncRNA (ENSCPGG00000003700.1)". The stretch from base 362 to 428 matches the Rfam family "Small nucleolar RNA SNORD50". Lineage: Eukaryota; Metazoa; Chordata; Aves; Charadriiformes; Scolopacidae. The record is from RNAcentral.